GCAAAUAAAUUAAUGUGAUGACUUAAAAAUUCUUCAGUCGACUUUAGAUUGCUCAUUUAAUCAUAAAAACUUAAUUAAAAAUAAUAUCAACAGUACAUUUACUUUAAUAAUUUAUUUAUCAUUUUUUUUUUUUGUUUAUGUUUAGUUGAUUUAAAAUUAAGAAACUUACUUACGGAGUUAAAAAAUGGAGAAGGAUGUACUGAAUCAUUAUGUUCAUAAUCGCGGCCGAAGUCAAUCAUUAAGUGGACCAUGUAAAGAGCCACUUCUGCCAUCAAGUAAAAGAAAUUCAUACAGGAUGACACCAACCGGUGGAAGAUCGCGUACCGUCUCGGAGACAAACGCAACUUCGGUAUCAAUACCAUUGACAGCAGCUGAUGAUUGUUACGAAAUAACAAUUUUAGAUGAAACAAAUGCAGAAGGCGGACGUUUACCGGACGUUGUGGCUGAAAGUAGAUUUUGUGAUGAUAAUUCUGAACCAACUGAAUCUUAUCUUGCCAUUACAAUUCAAGUUUUCAUUCCGUUCCUCGUUGCGGGUCUCGGUAUGGUUGGAGCUGGUCUUGUUCUCGAUCUUGUUCAACAUUGGGAAGUAUUUGAAAAAGUUAAUGAACUUAUGAUCUUGGUACCUGCAUUGCUAGGAUUAAAAGGAAAUUUAGAAAUGACUCUUGCCUCGCGACUUUCUACUCAAGCUAAUCUCGGUCAUAUGGAUGCACCUAAACAACAAUGGUAUAUGAUUGUUGGAAAUUUAGUUUUAAUUCAGUGUCAAGCAAUAGUGGUCGGUUUUUUAGGAUCAGUAGUAGCAAUACUAAUGGGAGCACUUAAGAAUGGAACAGUUUCAUUAGAUCAUACAUAUCUUUUAUGUGCCAGCAGUUUAGUAACCGCAUCUUUAGCAUCCUUUGUCCUCGGGUUAAUAACUGCCGGUGUAAUUGUAUUUUCACGUCACUGUCAUAUUAAUCCUGACAAUGUAGCAACGCCAAUAGCUGCAAGUCUCGGCGACAUAACAUCAUUAGCAUUAUUAUCAUGGAUUUCAACAAUUCUAUACGAAUCAAUUGAUAAACAAGACUGGUUAGCACCACUGGUAAUUGCGUGUUACAUUCUCGUAACACCACUCUGGGUAUGGAUAGCUAAACGUAAUAAAUACACCAAUGAUGUGCUCUAUUCCGGCUGGACACCAGUAAUGGUAGCAAUGCUUAUCAGCAGUUGUGGUGGUUUAAUUCUUGACUUCAUGGUGUCACGUUUUGAAACACUUACUGUAUUUCAACCGGUUAUAAAUGGUGUUGGUGGUAAUUUAGUUGCUGUACAAGCAUCGAGAAUAUCAACAGCAUUGCACAAACAAGCUGAUCUUGGUACACUAUUAAUACCACCUGGACAUACUCAUCCAGUAAUAUUUAUAACGCCAAUAGCUAAUUUUUUUGGAAAAGGACAUCAUUCAAGAACAACACGUGUACUAAUGGCAAUGGUUAUACCUGGUCAUAUUAUAUUUAUUUAUAUGAUUAAAUAUAUGAAAGACGGUGAUACAGCAUUAACACCGUUGUUUGUAUUUGUUUAUUUGUGCGCAGCAAUGUUACAAGUUGCAGCAUUACUGUAUAUUGCUUAUAUUAUGAUACACUGGAUGUGGAAAAGAAAAAUAGAUCCAGAUAAUUCGGCUAUACCAUAUUUGACAGCCAUGGGAGAUCUUUUAGGUAUCAGUUUAUUAGCAAUAGCUUUUCAAUUUUUGUAUCUCGUUGGCGAUCAAGACUACGAUGGUGCCAUUUAAAGCAUUAAUGUCACCACAAUCUCACGCUAUUUUAUUUUGAUAUUUAUUUAUUGAAAUUUAAAUAUACACAAACAAAAAGAUCUAUCAACUUUGAGCUUCGAUGUCACAUAAAUGGUUGGAUUUACAAAAAAAGUGUAAGAAACCUUUUUUGGAGAGCGAUAAAUUUCCUACAAGAAAAUUUAAAAGCGCUCAAUUUUAUGUCCGGGUGUUGGAGAGUUAUUAAAUUUUAAACAAAAAUGAAUAAACUUUUGUAUUUUUUUUUUAUUGUUUUUGGAUCACAAAUAAAUGAUUUUUAUCAUGGUCAAGUAAAAAAAUCUAAUUUGGUAAAUAACGGACACCCUAAUAUAGAUAAACUGUAGAAAAUUUACAGAUUAAAUCCGGAGUUAUUUUUUUAUUUAUUUAAUCACCUUGGAGUAAAAUGAAUUCCGAAAGAAAAUUUAUUUUAAUAAAAAAACUCCAGAUCGGAGUGGAUGCGGAUUGAAAUAAAAUUCACGUCACUCCGAAAUCACUCCAAUGAAAAAAAAAAAAAUCACAAUUUACUCCGCACGCGGAACAAUUUAUUUUUUAUAAUCUGAAACUCUGAGUGAAUUUGAAUUAAAAUAAUAUUCAUAUUUACUCCGAGUGUGCUCGGAAGAAAAUGUAAAAAAUUAAUUUUGUGCAAAAUGGAUUUUGAAACUUUCUCUACUGAUCAUGCUAACAUUAAGUAUUAUUCAGUAAUAUGAAUGAAGUGCUUGAAAGAUUCAUUUUUGACGCGUUUAAAAUGAUAGAAAUUUUUUACCCAAAAAAUAUUUUAAAACCAACUUGUAUUUUUAUUUAAUCAUUAAGAGCACUACUGAUCUCAAUAUUUAAGAGCCCACGAGUGAAAAAAAUGUGAUUUAAAUUUUAUUAACUUUUUUUUUGCCGGAAUAAAUAAAACAUUUCGGUUCAUCAUACUUUAUACAGCUCGGUAUGCUCUCGAUUCUAUUUAACGUCAACGUUAACUCCGUAUUCCAAUCCUUCAGUAAAUAAAAAUCUUUUAUGAUGUAAAUAUUUAAGUAAUAAAUAUUAAAAUUAUUUUUAUAACUUUGUUAGUUAAAAAAUUGAUGCUGUUAGUUUUAUAUUGACAAUAAUUGAGAUUACAUUUGUUUAUUAUUAACUGAUAAUAUUUUGGCUGAAACCCCUCAACUUAUAACACUGUUUUUAAAUAAAAAAUAAUAGAGAUUAAUAAUAAAAAUAUUAAUAAAUAAACUCUUUAAAAAUAAUUGUAUAAAUAAACAUCAAAAUAAGAUCACUAAAAUUAUUAAAUACAAACAUUAAAAACAAAGUGGAUUAAUUCGAAGUUGAUACAAAAAUAGUAUGCCUUCGAGUAGUUGCCUUCAUAAAGAACUUACGUAAUGAAAAUAAAUAAUAAAAAGGCCUUUCGUUUAUGUCAAAGCUUAGAUCGCAUGUUUUCUAGUGUGAGUGUUGACUAAUAUUAAUUGUCAAUUAAUUCAUUAAUAAUUAAAUCACUGAAUGAUUGAAAUUUAAUAAUUUCUAAUUAAAAUGCUUUUAGGUAAAUUUUUAAUAACGAAGUAAAAUUUAGUAAAAUUGUUUUAGACGAAAAUUAAUAAUAA
Molecule: RNA transcript, 3345 nt
Organism: Microplitis demolitor
Lineage: Eukaryota; Metazoa; Arthropoda; Insecta; Hymenoptera; Braconidae
Gene name: solute carrier family 41 member 1
Exons: 5
Source: RefSeq, a predicted model, not a curated record